Molecule: long non-coding RNA, 961 nt
Filed under: Olea europaea subsp. europaea
Lineage: Eukaryota; Viridiplantae; Streptophyta; Magnoliopsida; Lamiales; Oleaceae
Source: RNAcentral
UUGUUGUCACAAAUAAAAAACAUUCUAGGUUACAGAUUAUUUUGAGGUCACAGAUCAUUCAAAUUACAGGUCACAAUUUAUCUAUAGAUCACAUAGUUUCAAAUUUAUUGGUCACAAAUUAUUUGUUUCGUUACAGAUUAUCGAAUUUUAAAGUCAUAGAUUAAUAAUUAGUCCAAAUAAUUGGUCACAUGCACCAAACAGUUGGUCAUGGAUUAAUAAUUAGUCUAAAUAGUUGAUCACAUGCACCAAAUACCUUUCCACCAGUCCUGAUUCAGCACUAAUCUUGGUCAUAAAUCACCACUAUACAACCAUCGCUUGCACCACACCAUCGCAACCUCACCAACAAAGCCAGCACCACUAACCAAAACUAUUCUACAUCCAUCAUAAAAUCAAAUUCACGAUAACGUAUAGCUCACGAUUCACUAUACCCACAACACAUUCCCGCACCAAUAUCGCAUCCAACCACAUAUCGACAGUGCACAUCACCACGCUGCAUCCAACCACUGCACACUAGCAGUACCACCAUGCCACCAACACCACUACACCCACGGCAGGCACACACACCACCACCACAUCCAACCACACUACCGUCUAAUAGCAUAACCCCAGCACCACCACCUUAUUGCACAACCGUCAGAUUCAAAACCAACUACGGGUGAUGAGGUCGCAGCAGCGUCACUGGUUGCUCCAAAGCGAUGGCGUUGCGGUGGUGGCGUCUUGAGAGUCAAGCCACGGCACCAACGCCAUCUCUGGUAGCAAUUUUCGAUGAAGAGAAAUGGAAGUAUAUAUAGAAAGAAAAUAGAAAUCGCCAUUGACACCACACCAAGAAAUCUUCCAGUGGUGAUGUCGCCGUGCAAAUAGUGCAACUACAAUAGGAAAAUUGUUGUGCCAGAGAUAAUCUUCCAUUGGUGGCGUGAUUACUGUUGAGAGAGGAGAGAUUAGGGAGCAUAAUAGAGUGAGA